RNAcentral lists this ribosomal RNA (228 nucleotides) under uncultured Pseudomonas sp. RNAcentral describes it as "partial 16S ribosomal RNA". It matches the Rfam family "Bacterial small subunit ribosomal RNA", at positions 125 to 354 of the family's 1533-position model. Lineage: Bacteria; Pseudomonadati; Pseudomonadota; Gammaproteobacteria; Pseudomonadales; Pseudomonadaceae. The record is from RNAcentral.
UCUGCCUGGUAGUGGGGGACAACGUUUCGAAAGGAACGCUAAUACCGCAUACGUCCUACGGGAGAAAGCAGGGACCUUCGGGCCUUGCGCUAUCAGAUGAGCCUAGGUCGGAUUAGCUAGUUGGUGAGGUAAUGGCUCACCAAGGCGACGAUCCGUAACUGGUCUGAGAGGAUGAUCAGUCACACUGGAACUGAGACACGGUCCAGACUCCUACGGGAGGCAGCAGGG